AUUGAACGCUGGCGGAAUGCUUUACACAUGCAAGUCGAACGGCAGCACGGACUUCGGUCUGGUGGCGAGUGGCGAACGGGUGAGUAAUGUAUCGGAACGUGCCCAGUCGUGGGGGAUAACGUAGUGAAAAUUACGCUAAUACCGCAUACGAUCUAUGGAUGAAAGCGGGGGAUCGCAAGACCUCGCGCGAUUGGAGCGGCCGACAUCAGAUUAGGUAGUUGGUGGGGUAAAGGCCCACCAAGCCAACGAUCUGUAGCUGGUCCGAGAGGACGACCAGCCACACUGGAACUGAGACACGGUCCAGACUCCUACGGGAGGCAGCAGUGGGGAAUUUUGGACAAUGGGCGAAAGCCUGAUCCAGCCAUUCCGCGUGCAGGAUGAAGGCCCUCGGGUUGUAAACUGCUUUUGUACAGAACGAAAAGGUUUCUACUAAUACUAGGAGCUCAUGACGGUACUGUAAGAAUAAGCACCGGCUAACUACGAGCCAGCCGCCGCAGUAA
This 500-nucleotide ribosomal RNA is filed under the name uncultured bacterium. RNAcentral's name for it is "partial 16S ribosomal RNA". It matches the Rfam family "Bacterial small subunit ribosomal RNA", at positions 30 to 523 of the family's 1533-position model. The record is from RNAcentral.